CGGCAGGCCUACACAUGCAAGUCGAGCGCGCCCUUCGGGGUGAGCGGCGGACGGGUUAGUAACGCGUGGGAAUAUACCCUUUGGUACGGAAUAGCCUCUGGAAACGGAGAGUAAUACCGUAUGAGCCCUUCGGGGGAAAGAUUUAUCGCCAAAGGAUUAGCCCGCGUUAGAUUAGGUAGUUGGUGGGGUAAUGGCCUACCAAGCCUACGAUCUAUAGCUGGUUUUAGAGGAUGAUCAGCACACUGGGACUGAGACACGGCCCAGACUCCUACGGGAGGCAGCAGUGGGGAAUCUUGGACAAUGGGGGCAACCCUGAUCCAGCAAUGCCGCGGUGAGUGAUGAAGGCCCUAGGGUCGUAAAGCUCUUUCGCCUGUGAAGAUAAUUGACGGUAGCAGGUAAAGAAACCCCGGCUAACUCCGUGCCAGCAGCCGCGGUAAUACGGAGGGGGUUAGCGUUGUUCGGAAUUACUUGGGCGUAAAGCGCACGUAGGCGGACUUGGAAAGUUGGGGGUGAAAUCCCGGGGCUCAACCCCGGAACUGCCUCCAAAACUAUCAGUCUAGAGUUCGAGAGAGGUGAGUGGAAUUCCGAGUGUAGAGGUGAAAUUCGUAGAUAUUCGGAGGAACACC
Molecule: ribosomal RNA, 626 nt
Filed under: alpha proteobacterium NP778
Lineage: Bacteria; Pseudomonadati; Pseudomonadota; Alphaproteobacteria
Description: bacterial SSU rRNA
Rfam family: Bacterial small subunit ribosomal RNA
Source: RNAcentral